This 445-nucleotide ribosomal RNA is filed under the name uncultured Anaerolineaceae bacterium. RNAcentral's name for it is "bacterial SSU rRNA". It matches the Rfam family "Bacterial small subunit ribosomal RNA", at positions 920 to 1382 of the family's 1533-position model. Lineage: Bacteria; Bacillati; Chloroflexota; Anaerolineae; Anaerolineales; Anaerolineaceae. The record is from RNAcentral.
CCCGCACAAGCAGCGGAGCGUGUGGUUAAUUCGAUGUUACGCGAAAACCUUACCCGGGCUUGACAUGCAGGUAGUAGGGAACCGAGAGGGGACCGACUCUUCGGAGAGCCUGCACAGGUGCUGCAUGGCUGUCGUCAGCUCGUGCCGUGAGGUGUCCGGUUAAGUCCGGUAACGAGCGCAACCCUCGCCAUAUGUUACAAGUGUCAUAUGGGACUGCCGAUAUAAAGUCGGAGGAAGGUGGGAUGACGUCAAGUCAGCAUGGCCUUUAUGUCCGGGGCUACACACACGCUACAAUGGCCGGUACAAUAGGUAGCAAGACCGCGAGGUGGAGCCAAUCCUUAAAGCCGGUCUCAGUUCAGAUUGCAGGCUGCAACUCGCCUGCAUGAAGUUGGAAUCGCUAGUAAUCGCGGAUCAGCAUGUCGCGGUGAAUACGUUCCCGGGCCUU